GCCUGAAGCAGGAGGGGAGCCGAAAGAAGAGGCAAUCCUGCUAAAUUACAGCCCGACCUUCCCCAUGCAUCUUUCAUGCGCGGCGCCGGCCGCCGUGCUCAAUAAAUAAUGGGGCGGGAGUGCGCGGUGGGGCCCCGGGGGGGACGGAGGCAGCCGGGAGGAUGGGGGAAAAAGGAGAAGAGCGUGGUGGCGACGGGCAGGAGCCCACCGGGGUUCCCCGGCCACGCAGAGACGCUGCCCCGAAGGAGGAUUUAAGGCUUAAGCCGGGGGUUAUGGCAUGCAUUAUUUAGCAGAUGGCCCCGCAGCCCGCGGGCUCCCCGGUGACCUUGGCGGGGCGAGGACGGAUCCGGUGACACGGGGCUAAAGGGGGGGGGACACACACACACGACCCUUCCUUGAGCUGGCUCUGAGCAGCUCCAGUGCUGCAUCCCCAUGGAAACCGCACAAAAUAAAAGCCGGGUCCAUCCGGCUGCUCUCGGUAGGGGAAAGGAAAAAAAAAAUUAAGGAAAAAGAUGAAACGCGAGCGGUUUGCGGGUUCGUGGAUUUAUUGCUGGAGAGCUUUGGGGAAAGCGGCCUGGAGGGGGCGAGGUGCUGAGCUCCCUGCAGUGCCUGCAGGGCGGCAGCCCCCCAGCCAGGUGUGCGCCUCCAUCCCGUGCCCUGGUGGGUUUGGGGUCUGGGGGUUUUGGGGCUGGGGAAGGUGCCGGGGUCCCUCACACCGCAGCGCGCAGGGGAAGGUUCAGCUAGCCCCAACGCCACCCCGUUCUCUGCAGGCUCCAAAUCCCCACUGCAGCAACCUCGGGCAGCAUCGCCCCUCGCGUCCGGGGCAGGAAUUCAAGACCUCGAGUUGGGAAAGGCCGGAGAUCCCGCCGGGUUUGGGUUUCCCUGGGACACCAGCAGGGCUGCUCCAUCCUCGUCCUCAGGGUUUUCUCACGCGAUGCCCCUACGGGCUCCACGUUCCCAAAGCAGCUGGUGCAGGACCGAGGCAGGCCGCGCUCUUAUUUAUCUAUUUAUUUUUUGGUGAAAAACCAUUUCUAACCUCAAAACAAAGCCUCUCAGCCCCGUGCCCGAGGAAAGGAGCUGCGCUGCCGUGGAGCACUCUCGCCACGCUGCCCCAAGCGAAGCCCCGGCUUGCAAAACCCCGCAGAAAAGCACGGGCACCCACGGUGCCGCCUGAAAUAAAUCCUCGUCCCCCACCAGAAAUAGGGCACGGCAAAGUAGGGCAGCGGUUCCCUGCAAAAGCCGUUUCUUUACUCCUCACACGGGGAGCGAGGUGUGGGACGCGGCCGCCAGAGCCGCGCAUCCGAGGCAGGGGACGGAGCCGGCCCCAUCCCACCCCAAAAGAGCCUGGUGGUGGUAGUGGGGGAACAGCGGGAUCUGGUCAGGGUUUGCUGGGCAUUUCACCCUUUGGAAGAACGGGGAGAUUUCCCACAUUUUGGGGAAAACUGGAAAAAAUCGAGAGGGGAAAGGUGAAAACCAGGGGAGGCUCCCGUGUGGUUUCGGAUCCCAACCCGGCAAAACCCCGGUGCAGGGGGAGCAGGGCUGGUGGCAGAGGUUCCUCGUUGAAAAGCCACGGUUGCUCAGAACUGGGCAGUUUCGGUGACCUUUGGUGGGUAAAAAAACCACACAAAAAAACACAAAAAAAAACAAAAAAAACAGUUGUUCUGACGGCAUUGGGCCCCUCCUCAUGCCGGUGUUCCUGCCCUGACCAGCCAGCAGGGCUGUCU
Long non-coding RNA from Anser cygnoides (Swan goose), 1724 nucleotides. Lineage: Eukaryota; Metazoa; Chordata; Aves; Anseriformes; Anatidae. The record is from Ensembl.